GAAGAGUUUGAUCAUGGCUCAGAUUGAACGCUGGCGGCAGGCCUAACACAUGCAAGUCGAACGGUAACAGGAAGCAGCUUGCUGCUUUGCUGACGAGUGGCGGACGGGUGAGUAAUGUCUGGGAAACUGCCUGAUGGAGGGGGAUAACUACUGGAAACGGUGGCUAAUACCGCAUAACGUCGCAAGACCAAAGAGGGGGACCUUCGGGCCUCUUGCCAUCAGAUGUGCCCAGAUGGGAUUAGCUUGUUGGUGAGGUAACGGCUCACCAAGGCGACGAUCCCUAGCUGGUCUGAGAGGAUGACCAGCCACACUGGAACUGAGACACGGUCCAGACUCCUACGGGAGGCAGCAGUGGGGAAUAUUGCACAAUGGGCGCAAGCCUGAUGCAGCCAUGCCGCGUGUAUGAAGAAGGCCUUCGGGUUGUAAAGUACUUUCAGCGGGGAGGAAGGUGUUGUGGUUAAUAACCGCAGCAAUUGACGUUACCCGCAGAAGAAGCACCGGCUAACUCCGUGCCAGCAGCCGCGGUAAUACGGAGGGUGCAAGCGUUAAUCGGAAUUACUGGGCGUAAAGCGCACGCAGGCGGUCUGUCAAGUCGG
RNAcentral lists this ribosomal RNA (596 nucleotides) under Salmonella enterica. RNAcentral's name for it is "bacterial SSU rRNA". It matches the Rfam family "Bacterial small subunit ribosomal RNA", at positions 1 to 591 of the family's 1533-position model. Lineage: Bacteria; Pseudomonadati; Pseudomonadota; Gammaproteobacteria; Enterobacterales; Enterobacteriaceae. The record is from RNAcentral.